AAUGGAAUAGCUGGGUCAAAUGGUGGUUCCAUUCCAAGUUUCUGAGGAAUCUCCAAACUGCUUUCUAUGGUGGUUUCACCAAUUUGGAGUCCCACCAGCAAU
Molecule: microRNA precursor, 102 nt
Filed under: Marmota monax (woodchuck)
Lineage: Eukaryota; Metazoa; Chordata; Mammalia; Rodentia; Sciuridae
Source: RNAcentral